RNAcentral lists this long non-coding RNA (1942 nucleotides) under Arachis ipaensis. RNAcentral's name for it is "long non-coding RNA (AIPA_LNC001278)". The record is from RNAcentral. Lineage: Eukaryota; Viridiplantae; Streptophyta; Magnoliopsida; Fabales; Fabaceae.
AGAUGUGUAGUUGUGGAUAGCCCCACAAGAGAAAAGCCCAUAGGGGUGAUAGUGGAGAGAGUGGAGAUUGCCAGACUGGAAGUGGAAACCGUACAGGGAGUGGAGACUGGAGAGUGGAGAGGGACCGAUUGGUAAAUUAAAUUCCUUUGUUCCCACUAAUACAUAUAUAGUUGUAAAUUGGUCAAACCCGAAUUGGUCUCGGCUGCUAAAUCAAAUUAUCGUCCUCUGCACCUUUUCGCCUAAACUUUUAUCUGUUCAGGUGCUCUCAGUCUCAGGUUCUUUCUUAUGUGUGAAAUUUCUGUAUGUUAUUUUUUUUUUGCUACUUUGUUUUUGUUUUCAUUUUUUAGAUUGUUGAAAUCCGCACCCUAAUGUUGACGCAUUACGCAUAUAAUUGUGUUAGCUGAGUAAUUACAUGAACCUUUGUUUGAGUGGUGAAAGUCUGGUAGUUCGAACCCUAAUUUACGGUUCAUAAAUUGCCCAAUGAUGCACACAUAGAUUGUUGAGCGGCUACUCGUGUUCCUUCAUAACCUGAUCUGUACUUCUCUCUCUCUCUCUCUCUCUCUCUCUCUCUCUUGAAUAUGCUAUGUUCUUUUUCUUUUACUUUUUCUCAUUAUUUUUCUUUUGUUUUUCUAUCACUCUCUUGUCUUUCUCUCAUGGCUCUGAAAACCAAACUGAACUUGUGAAAGCUGCAGAGACGGUUAUGAAUGGAAUUCGGGUGUCUAAAGCCGCAUAUGAUUCUCUACUAAGCUAUGAGAUCUGAGGGCUUUUUCUUCGUUUUCCCCUUUAGGAUUAUUAUUACUGUUUCAUACAAAAAUUAGCGCACAUAAUUUUCUGUUGAUUCUGUUUGUGUAUGUUAAUGUUGCCCAAUGAUGGAGAAAUUAGACUAUUGAGUAGCUACGUGGUUCUGUUUUCUAGCUGGACGUGCACCAUUGACUCCACUCUCUCUCUCUCUCUUUCUCUCUCUUAAUCCAUCUCUGCGUAUGUGUGGGUGUGUGUGUGUCUGGAGGGAGUGUUACCAUAUAUAAUAGCAAUGAAUAAUCAUAAUAAUCAAUUAAUUCAAUGGUGCAAGAAGGCUGUUAAUGAAGCCCGUUUCAAAAGCUACACUUGAUUUCUAUAUAGCUAUCAGAUCUGAGGGCUAUGCAUAUCUUUUUCCUUUAAGAAACGAUAAUUAGGAUGUAUGUUUAUUGUCUAGUAGGGAGGGGCCAACUGGUGUCUUAAAUGUUGCUAUCGUUAGUUUAAUCGGAAGGGUUCUGACAGUAGAUAACCAUGAUACUGGCUACUAUGCAUUGUGCAUGGAUAAUCUGUGAAGGACAUAUCUAAUUUCAUAAUCAAUUCAUCCAACCCUGAAAUCUCAGUUUUGUUGGCAAGUGGAGCUGCUUUAUUUUUCUGCAUUGCCCUUUGUGAUUGCUGGCUUGGCUCUAGUUAAACUUUGGAUUUCUUUAUAUUUCAAUCUACAAGUUAAGGAUUAUACUUCAAUCUUAUCUUUCAAUCAUGCAGUGGAAAUUUACCCUAAUUUUCUCUAAUUUCCCUAAUCAUAUUAUCUAUAUAAAAGCAACAAUGAUUUUUAAAGAAACUUUUUAUUUUUAUCUAACCUUUCUGGAUGUACUUUCCUUUCUGUAAAUUAGUAUUGCUUGUGUCAUUUGACAUAGCUUGAGAUUGAGUCUGGCGUACACGAGUGAGGUUGAUCACUGUGCAUACAUUAUGUUAAACAAAAUUACAAAGAUUUUGGUUGCAUCCCCAACUAUUACCUAUUGGUGGUGGUGCUAAAGAUCUUUCAAAGUUCAUACUCUUGAAGAGGAGGACAUUUACCAUAUCAUGCAAUUCCUAUUCAUUCAGGAAGAAACUCUUGCGGGCAAUCUUGAAGAGAAGGGAAUUUACAAUUGGCGUGACUGUAAUACAACUUUAUUUUAUUUGUAGUCUUGUCAUGGAUCAUGGAUGGUUA